AAACAAUUUAUUGUCUGCGGAUCGUUGACGGAGAGUUUAGAGGGGGGGGAGAACAAAUCCUACCCGAGUUAGUUGCUCUGCUAGCCGGCCAUCAAGUGGCUACAUAGAGAAAUUCAGGCGCGCGUGCGCGUGUGGAAAGUAUCUAUCUGGGAUGCUGUCUUCCUCGCGCACCCCUCUCUCGCUCGCGCGCUCGGAGCCGCUCGGAGCCGUCGCCAGGAGUGGUAGGCUCCAAUUUGACGGCAGCAGCGCUUGCUUUCUAAAGAAAGCUUAGCUCUCACUUUUCAGUCUGUCUCAUUACCGCUCUCAUUGUUUCUUUCGACAGCGAGAAACGGAGCAGUUCACUUGGAGUCUAUUUGGAAUAAGAAAGCAUUGCUGUUUUCUGACUGGAGAGAAGAAAGAUAAGACUCCUCUGGAUUUCCUAAGGAAUUUUAUCGGAACGCCUUGUUACCGUGGCUUUUGAAUUCAUCAGCUGGGGUAUAUAAUGUGACCAACUGUUCCACAAUAGCCAUCCCCCGAUUGGAGUAAACUAACGGACAAAAUGUCUUCUACUGCUACUUACAGCUAUUUUCUCUCACAUAUACAGUACAUGUAGUUAACUAAUUAUACAUACGGUAUAUUCAUAAUUUCCUCUUUCUGCAAAUUCAUUCUGAUCUGAACUCCAACCCUCCGAUGUCCACAGAUUAACCCAUCUUCCAAGUAUAAUACCAUUAUGCUAUUUCCUUUUGCAAACAGUGAGAUAUGUUUUAAGGGAUCUCAUUGGGGUCCACCUGUGUUUCCUGAAUGCCUAAGUAAAGGAGGGAGUAGGGGCGCGG
Molecule: long non-coding RNA, 812 nt
Organism: Oncorhynchus tshawytscha (Chinook salmon)
Lineage: Eukaryota; Metazoa; Chordata; Actinopteri; Salmoniformes; Salmonidae
Source: Ensembl